GCGAACUACGGGACAGCAGCCGCGGUAAUACGGAGGGGGCAAGUGUGAGCCGGAUUUAGUGGGUGUAAAGGGAGCGUAGACGGCACGGCAAGCCAGAUGUGAAAGCCCGCGGCUCAACCCCGGGACUGCAUUUGGAACUGCUGAGCUAGAGUGUCGGAGAGGCAAGUGGAAUUCCUAGUGUAGCGGUGAAAUGCGUAGAUAUUAGGAGGAACACCAGUGGCGAAGGCGGCUUGCUGGACGAUGACUGACGUUGAGGCUCGAAAGCGUGGGGAGCAAACAGGAUUAGAUACCCUAGUAGUC
Molecule: ribosomal RNA, 300 nt
Filed under: uncultured Halogeometricum sp.
Lineage: Archaea; Methanobacteriati; Methanobacteriota; Halobacteria; Halobacteriales; Haloferacaceae
Description: bacterial SSU rRNA
Rfam family: Bacterial small subunit ribosomal RNA
Source: RNAcentral